Molecule: ribosomal RNA, 253 nt
Filed under: uncultured bacterium
Lineage: Bacteria
Description: partial 16S ribosomal RNA
Rfam family: Bacterial small subunit ribosomal RNA
Source: RNAcentral
UACGUAGGGGGCAAGCGUUGUCCGGAUUUAUUGGGCGUAAAGAGCGCGUAGGCGGCUGGGUAGGUCCGUUGUGAAAACUCGAGGCUCAACCUCGAGACGCCGAUGGAAACCCUCCAGCUAGAGUCCGGAAGAGGAGAGUGGAAUUCCUGGUGUAGCGGUGAAAUGCGCAGAUAUCAGGAAGAACACCCGUGACUAAGGCGGCUCUCUAGUACGGUACUGACGCUGAGACGCGAAAGCGUGGGGAGCGAACAGG